AAGUCGUAACAAGGUAACCGUAGGUGGACCUGCGGUUGGAUCAUUAAAAAAAAUUGAAGCUUCAACCCUUUCAAGGGUAGAAGCGUCAGUGCUCCUCUAACAAGGAGCUUGACUACUCCAAUUUUGUGAACUUGCAACCAAAAAAUGUUUUGAUAGUGGUGAAAGAUUUGGGCAUUACCAGCCCAAGUUUUUCCCUUCUUGAAAAAAUUGUUAACCCUGAAGAAAUAACUUGUCUUUACCGUUUUUUAUAAAUAAAAAUUAAUAAACAACUUUUGACAACGGAUCUCUAGGCUCUC
This 296-nucleotide unclassified non-coding RNA is filed under the name fungal sp. Its description in RNAcentral is "partial internal transcribed spacer region". The stretch from base 1 to 46 matches the Rfam family "Eukaryotic small subunit ribosomal RNA", at positions 1786 to 1831 of the family's 1831-position model. Lineage: Eukaryota; Fungi. The record is from RNAcentral.